GGGUUGUGAGGUUAAGCGACUAAGCGUACACGGUGGAUGCCCUGGCAGUCAGAGGCGAUGAAGGACGUGCUAAUCUGCGAAAAGCGUCGGUAAGGUGAUAUGAACCGUUAUAGCCGGCGAUGUCCGAAUGGGGAAACCCAGUGCAAUUCGUUGCACUAUCGUUAACUGAAUACAUAGGUUAACGAGGCGAACCGGGGGAACUGAAACAUCUAAGUACCCCGAGGAAAAGAAAUCAACCGAGAUUCCCCCAGUAGCGGCGAGCGAACGGGGAGCAGCCCAGAGUCUGAAUCAGCUUGUGUGUUAGUGGAACGGUCUGGAAAGUCCGACGGUACAGGGUGAUAGUCCCGUACACCAAAAUGCACAGGCUGUGAACUCGAAGAGUAGGGCGGGACACGUGGUAUCCUGUCUGAAUAUGGGGGGACCAUCCUCCAAGGCUAAAUACUCCUGACUGACCGAUAGUGAACCAGUACCGUGAGGGAAAGGCGAAAAGAACCCCGGCGAGGGGAGUGAAAAAGAACCUGAAACCGUGUACGUACAAGCAGUGGGAGCACCUUCGGGUGUGACUGCGUACCUUUUGUAUAAUGGGUCAGCGACUUAUAUUCUGUAGCAAGGUUAACCGUAUAGGGGAGCCGCAGGGAAACCGAGUCUUAACUGGGCGUUAAGUUGCAGGGUAUAGACCCGAAACCCGGUGAUCUAGCCAUGGGCAGGUUGAAGGUUGGGUAACACUAACUGGAGGACCGAACCGACUAAUGUUGAAAAAUUAGCGGAUGACUUGUGGCUGGGGGUGAAAGGCCAAUCAAACCGGGAGAUAGCUGGUUCUCCCCGAAAGCUAUUUAGGUAGCGCCUCGUGAACUCAUCUUCGGGGGUAGAGCACUGUUUCGGCUAGGGGGUCAUCCCGACUUACCAACCCGAUGCAAACUACGAAUACCGAAGAAUGUUAUCACGGGAGACACACGGCGGGUGCUAACGUCCGUCGUGAAGAGGGAAACAACCCAGACCGCCAGCUAAGGUCCCAAAGUCAUGGUUAAGUGGGAAACGAUGUGGGAAGGCACAGACAGCCAGGAUGUUGGCUUAGAAGCAGCCAUCAUUUAAAGAAAGCGUAAUAGCUCACUGGUCGAGUCGGCCUGCGCGGAAGAUGUAACGGGGCUAAACCAUGCACCGAAGCUGCGGCAGCGACACUAUGUGUUGUUGGGUAGGGGAGCGUUCUGUAAGCCUGCGAAGGUG
RNAcentral lists this ribosomal RNA (1224 nucleotides) under Klebsiella pneumoniae. RNAcentral describes it as "partial 23S ribosomal RNA". It matches the Rfam family "Bacterial large subunit ribosomal RNA", at positions 1 to 1258 of the family's 2925-position model. The record is from RNAcentral. RNAcentral also lists the same sequence under 1 other name. Lineage: Bacteria; Pseudomonadati; Pseudomonadota; Gammaproteobacteria; Enterobacterales; Enterobacteriaceae.